CCUCUCUUAGGAUCGCAACUGGAGAGUUUCCAGUACUCUACCAGUCUCGGCUUUGGGAGGGAGAGUCAAGCAGAGACAUACCCAUUCCAUUCCUAGCUUGGGCAGUGGCUAGCGAGAGUGGAAGUCCAUCGGCUACAAGU
Ornithorhynchus anatinus (platypus) is the source of this 140-nucleotide small nucleolar RNA. The record is from RefSeq and is a predicted model, not a curated record. Lineage: Eukaryota; Metazoa; Chordata; Mammalia; Monotremata; Ornithorhynchidae.